AGUGAACGCUGGCGGUAGGCCUAACACAUGCAAGUCGAACGGCAGCACAGUAAGAGCUUGCUCUUACGGGUGGCGAGUGGCGGACGGGUGAGGAAUACAUCGGAAUCUACUUUUUCGUGGGGGAUAACGUAGGGAAACUUACGCUAAUACCGCAUACGACCUACGGGUGAAAGCAGGGGAUCUUCGGACCUUGCGCGAUUGAAUGAGCCGAUGUCGGAUUAGCUAGUUGGCGGGGUAAAGGCCCACCAAGGCGACGAUCCGUAGCUGGUCUGAGAGGAUGAUCAGCCACACUGGAACUGAGACACGGUCCAGACUCCUACGGGAGGGAGCAGUGGGGAAUAUUGGUCAAAGGGCGCAAGCCUGAUCCAGCCAUACCGCGUGGGUGAAGAAGGCCUUCGGGUUGUAAAGCCCUUUUGUUGGGAAAGAAAAGCAGCAGGUUAAUACCCCGCUGUUCUGACGGUACCCAAAGAAUAAGCACCGGCUAACUUCGUG
Molecule: ribosomal RNA, 492 nt
Filed under: uncultured bacterium
Lineage: Bacteria
Description: partial 16S ribosomal RNA
Rfam family: Bacterial small subunit ribosomal RNA
Source: RNAcentral